UGGGGUAACGGCUCACCAAGGCGACGAUCCCUAGCUGGUCUGAGAGGAUGACCAGCCACACUGGAACUGAGACACGGUCCAGACUCCUACGGGAGGCAGCAGUGGGGAAUAUUGCACAAUGGGCGCAAGCCUGAUGCAGCCAUGCCGCGUGUAUGAAGAAGGCCUUCGGGUUGUAAAGUACUUUCAGCGGGGAGGAAGGGAGUAAAGUUAAUACCUUUGCUCAUUGACGUUACCCGCAGAAGAAGCACCGGCUAACUCCGUGCCAGCAGCCGCGGUAAUACGGAGGGUGCAAGCGUUAAUCGGAAUUACUGGGCGUAAAGCGCACGCAGGCGGUUUGUUAAGUCAGAUGUGAAAUCCCCGGGCUCAACCUGGGAACUGCAUCUGAUACUGGCAAGCUUGAGUCUCGUAGAGGGGGGUAGAAUUCCAGGUGUAGCGGUGAAAUGCGUAGAGAUCUGGAGGAAUACCGGUGGCGAAGGCGGCCCCCUGGACGAAGACUGACGCUCAGGUGCGAAAGCGUGGGGAGCAAACAGGAUUAGAUACCCUGGUAGUCCACGCCGUAAACGAUGUCGACUUGGAGGUUGUGCCCUUGAGGCGUGGCUUCCGGAGCUAACGCGUUAAGUCGACCGCCUGGGGAGUACGGCCGCAAGGUUAAAACUCAAAUGAAUUGACGGGGGCCCGCACAAGCGGUGGAGCAUGUGGUUUAAUUCGAUGCAACGCGAAGAACCUUACCUGGUCUUGACAUCCACGGAAGUUUUCAGAGAUGAGAAUGUGCCUUCGGGAACCGUGAGACAGGUGCUGCAUGGCUGUCGUCAGCUCGUGUUGUGAAAUGUUGGGUUAAGUCCCGCAACGAGCGCAACCCUUAUCCUUUGUUGCCAGCGGUCCGGCCGGGAACUCAAAGGAGACUGCCAGUGAUAAACUGGAGGAAGGUGGGGAUGACGUCAAG
This 943-nucleotide ribosomal RNA is filed under the name Escherichia coli O26:H11. Its description in RNAcentral is "bacterial SSU rRNA". It matches the Rfam family "Bacterial small subunit ribosomal RNA", at positions 253 to 1189 of the family's 1533-position model. The record is from RNAcentral. Lineage: Bacteria; Pseudomonadati; Pseudomonadota; Gammaproteobacteria; Enterobacterales; Enterobacteriaceae.